Nomascus leucogenys (northern white-cheeked gibbon) is the source of this 565-nucleotide long non-coding RNA. RefSeq lists it as uncharacterized. The record is from RefSeq and is a predicted model, not a curated record. The transcript has 3 exons. NCBI's taxonomy places the organism in Eukaryota, Metazoa, Chordata, Mammalia, Primates, Hylobatidae.
UGUCUGUCCACACUGGGGAGAGCAAUAUAAGCCAUCACUUUUUGAUGAUAUGUAUAACAAUGGACUGCAAGGAACAGAGAAUACAGACUCCCCAUUCUUCCUGACAUAAACUAUGUCCAUGGCAUCAGGAAUGCUGGUGAACUUGUUUCUGUCCGGAGGCUGACGAUAUUUCUUCUCACUGAUGAUUUCCGAAGCCCGCUUGUUCUUUUCUGCCUCUAAAGAACCUAAAGGACUCCAUCCUAUGCCUCUCAGCCACUCAAGGGAGCCCAGAGGGAGCCAUCCAAUGCCCUUCAUGAAGUCAGCAUAGUCAGCCUUGUACUGAUUCUGCAAAAGAGGAAAAAUUAAACUAUGAGAAGAAACUGAAACUUCCCAAGAGUCCUAAGUGUGUGUUUAAUAUUCUGUAACUUCCACUUCAUUUGUAACUUUUCUGUAACUUUUCCACCUCAAUAUUUGCUUGAAUAUUGGUAUUUAACCAAUAGCAUGUUGAACUUCAACCAUUUCUUCCCUAAACUUUUAUCCUUUUUAUAUUUCCUUGCAUGAUAAAUUAAAAAUAAGCAGAAAUGUC